This 460-nucleotide ribosomal RNA is filed under the name uncultured bacterium. RNAcentral's name for it is "partial 16S ribosomal RNA". It matches the Rfam family "Bacterial small subunit ribosomal RNA", at positions 338 to 795 of the family's 1533-position model. The record is from RNAcentral.
CCUACGUGAGGCAGCAGUGAGGAAUAUUGGUCAAUGGGCGCGAGCCUGAACCAGCCAAGUAGCAUGAAGGAUGACUGCCCUACGGGUUGUAAACUUCUUUUAUAAAGGAAUAAAGUGAGGCACGUGUGCCUUUUUGUAUGUACUUUAUGAAUAAGGAUCGGCUAACUCCGUGCCAGCAGCCGCGGUAAUACGGAGGAUCCGAGCGUUAUCCGGAUUUAUUGGGUUUAAAGGGAGCGUAGAUGGGUUGUUAAGUCAGUUGUGAAAGUUUGCGGCUCAACAGUAAAAUUGCAAUUGAUACUGGCAGUCUUGAGUACAGUUGAGGUAGGCGGAAUUCGUGGUGUAGCGGUGAAAUGCUUAGAUAUCACGAAGAACUCCGAUUGCGAAGGCAGCUUACUAAACUGCCACUGACAUUGAUGCUCGAAAGUGUGGGUAUCAAACAGGAUUAGAUACCCUAGUAGUC